GAUUUUUGUAUCCAUGCUUCUUGACCUCCAAUUGAUCUAAAAUUUUGCAUGAACCUACUCUUGUAUGUCUAGUUUGCACAUGAUUUUUUGUGGAAUUAUUUGUGCCAUUUUCCAUUUGUUUGAGAUUUUCUCCCCUGUUUGACCAAAAUGUUGACCUUAUGUGAUACAUGUUGCCAUUUGUUUUGUGAAAUGCUCAUACUUUAUUAGAUGGACAUGAAAUUUUACAUGAGAUAACUAGACAUCCUCAUCUUUGCC
RNAcentral lists this long non-coding RNA (255 nucleotides) under Lathyrus oleraceus (garden pea). RNAcentral's name for it is "Pisum sativum (pea) long non-coding RNA (PSAT_LNC009744)". Lineage: Eukaryota; Viridiplantae; Streptophyta; Magnoliopsida; Fabales; Fabaceae. The record is from RNAcentral.